RNAcentral lists this ribosomal RNA (465 nucleotides) under Vreelandella stevensii. Its description in RNAcentral is "partial 16S ribosomal RNA". It matches the Rfam family "Bacterial small subunit ribosomal RNA", at positions 338 to 795 of the family's 1533-position model. Lineage: Bacteria; Pseudomonadati; Pseudomonadota; Gammaproteobacteria; Oceanospirillales; Halomonadaceae. The record is from RNAcentral.
CCUACGGGAGGCAGCAGUGGGGAAUAUUGGACAAUGGGGGGAACCCUGAUCCAGCCAUGCCGCGUGUGUGAAGAAGGCCCUCGGGUUGUAAAGCACUUUCAGUGAGGAAGAACGCCUGGUGGUUAAUACCCAUCAGGAAAGACAUCACUCACAGAAGAAGCACCGGCUAACUCCGUGCCAGCAGCCGCGGUAAUACGGAGGGUGCGAGCGUUAAUCGGAAUUACUGGGCGUAAAGCGCGCGUAGGUGGCUUGAUAAGCCGGUUGUGAAAGCCCCGGGCUCAACCUGGGAACGGCAUCCGGAACUGUCAAGCUAGAGUGCAGGAGAGGAAGGUAGAAUUCCCGGUGUAGCGGUGAAAUGCGUAGAGAUCGGGAGGAAUACCAGUGGCGAAGGCGGCCUUCCGGACUGACACUGACACUGAGGUGCGAAAGCGUGGGUAGCAAACAGGAUUAGAUACCCCAGUAGUC